Long non-coding RNA from Poecilia reticulata (guppy), 1034 nucleotides. RefSeq lists it as uncharacterized. The record is from RefSeq and is a predicted model, not a curated record. NCBI's taxonomy places the organism in Eukaryota, Metazoa, Chordata, Actinopteri, Cyprinodontiformes, Poeciliidae.
GACGAGAAGUCCAGUUUCAGGCGUCAUUGAUAGUAAAUCAUUCAUGGUUACUCCAACUGUGAAGCCUGGUGGAGAGGGGGAGAAAGCGCUCUUGAAGAAAGACAUGGUUUGUGGAGUUCAUGACAGCUGACCCGUCAAUGGAUUUUGGUUUCCUGCAGCUCCAGCAUAAAUGAUGAGUUCCCUUGAAGUUGGCGAGCGUAUCCUGGCAGGUUUGGAGUUGUGCUUGUUUUAUUUCAACUUUUGGGUGAUGGAUUAAGCAAUACUCCCCAAAUUUCCUAAAACUUGAGAAUGCUUUACAAAGAUAGCUCUCAUUCACACGUCACCAUCCUAAUCACAGCUGGUGUUUCUUGCAUUUGUCUUUAUGAUGUUGUUUGUCCGUCGAUGUAAAACCUCUAAAGUCUUGACAGAUUUGAUGUGCUUACAAACUGUUUUGGAAAUGAAAACCCAAAGCAAUGUCAGAUUUGUCACUGGCUGUAUUUAAUACAUUUCCAUUACAUGAUGGUGAAUAAAGACAUUUUUCUGGAAUGUUUCCAUUACAAUUAUUUACCUUCAUAUCCGUUUACAGUAGAACGCAAUACACAAAGUCCCUUUGAUUCCUUGUAUAUCAACACAGAAGCAAAGAUUGAGAAUAUAUAUAAUCAGAAUAUGUCUAAAGAGCUGGAUUACAAGUGUCUUAAUUAAGGCAUAAGUGCAUUAUUUCUACUCCCAUUGUGGUGCUACUUGUGAAAAGCAAUAUUAAUAACACAUUGGUUUCACAUAUUUAAAUGAGAUAUCAAUUUUUAAAAAACUAAAGUAAACUUAAUUUUAAGAAAUUAGAUCUAAUUCAAUUGACACUGAAACUAUUUCACUUUUCAAUCUGUUUAUGGCAUAAAACACCUGAGGAAACAGUGCCCUUCAUUUGAAUCACUGAUUUAGAGUUUAACUGUAAUUCCCUUAUUGAGAAACAAAAAGCUUAUUUUCAAGAAAUACUGUAACCCGUUUUUCUCAUGUGAUGAGCACUAAAAACUACAAGGAGGGCCCUGGUGACCCCUCAA